AUACUUACCUGGCAGGGGAGAUACCAUGAUCAUGAAGGUGGUUCACCCAGGGCGAGGCUCAGCCAUUGCACUCCGGCUGUGCUGACCCGUGCGAAUUCCCCAAAUGUGGGAAUCUCGACUGCAUAAUUUGUGGUAGUGGGGGACUGCGUUCGCGCUCUCCCCUG
This is a small nuclear RNA of 164 nucleotides. Its record names the gene U1. It matches the Rfam family "U1 spliceosomal RNA". From Rfam's summary of the family: U1 is a small nuclear RNA (snRNA) component of the spliceosome (involved in pre-mRNA splicing). Its 5' end forms complementary base pairs with the 5' splice junction, thus defining the 5' donor site of an intron. There are significant differences in sequence and secondary structure between metazoan and yeast U1 snRNAs, the latter being much longer (568 nucleotides as compared to 164 nucleotides in human). The record is from Ensembl.